This 254-nucleotide ribosomal RNA is filed under the name uncultured bacterium. RNAcentral describes it as "partial 16S ribosomal RNA". It matches the Rfam family "Archaeal small subunit ribosomal RNA", at positions 474 to 727 of the family's 1478-position model. The record is from RNAcentral.
UACCAGCACCCCGAGUGGUCGGGACGAUUAUUGGGCCUAAAGCAUCCGUAGCCGGUCAUGCAAGUCCUCCGUUAAAUCCAGCCGCUCAACGGUUGGGCUGCGGAGGAUACUACGUGGCUAGGAGGCGGGAGAGGCAAGCGGUACUCAGUGGGUAGGGGUAAAAUCCGUUGAUCCAUAGAAGACCACCAGUGGCGAAGGCGGCUUGCCAGAACGCGCUCGACGGUGAGGGAUGAAAGCUGGGGGGAGCAAACCGG